UGUGUUUAUUUUGAUAUAAAGGGGUUCGACAUCGACUAUUUAACUUUACUCAACAGAUUGAGUAUUGCAAAUGUACUCAAGUCGUUUAGUUGGGACAAGUGCGUUGUUAUCAGUAGAUAUAAAGGGGUUCGACAUCGACUAUUUAACUUUACUCAACAGAUUGAGUAUUGCAAAUGUACUCAAGUCGUUUAGUUGGGACAAGUGCGUUGUUAUCAGUUCUAUUUUUCUUUUCUCUUCUUUUUUUUUGUUUUCGGAGCAUUCAAAAAGCCUCCAAUUUAUUUUUCUUUUUCUCUUUUCUUGUAACAAUUUU
RNAcentral lists this long non-coding RNA (310 nucleotides) under Lathyrus oleraceus (garden pea). Its description in RNAcentral is "Pisum sativum (pea) long non-coding RNA (PSAT_LNC025830)". Lineage: Eukaryota; Viridiplantae; Streptophyta; Magnoliopsida; Fabales; Fabaceae. The record is from RNAcentral.